RNAcentral lists this ribosomal RNA (1914 nucleotides) under Triticum aestivum (bread wheat). Its description in RNAcentral is "partial small subunit ribosomal RNA". The record is from RNAcentral. Lineage: Eukaryota; Viridiplantae; Streptophyta; Magnoliopsida; Poales; Poaceae.
AUGGCCUCCAAGCCCGGCCCUCUCACCCGGUGGCCAUGGCACGACAUGGGAAACUACAAGUACGCGCUGGUGGCGCCGUGGGCGGCGUACAGCACGUACCGGUUCGCGGCGGCGAAGGCGAGGGGCGAGGAGGGGGACCUGCUCAGCCUCUUCGUCCUCCCCACGCUGCUCUUCCGCCUGCUCUACACCCAGCUGUGGAUCUCCGUGUCCCGCCACCAGACCGCCCGCUCCAAGCACCGCAUCGUCAGCAAGAGCCUCGACUUCGAGCAGGUCGACCGCGAGCGCAACUGGGACGACCAGAUCAUCCUGACGGCGCUGCUGUUCUACGUGGUGAACUGGACGGCGCCGAUCGCGCAGGGCCUGCCGUGGUGGAACCCGCGGGGGCUGGUGGUGACCGCGCUCCUCCACCUCGGCCCGGUGGAGUUCCUCUACUACUGGUUCCACCGGGCGCUGCACCACCACUUCCUCUACGCGCGGUACCACUCGCACCACCACGCGUCCAUCGUCACCGAGCCCGUCACCUCCGUGAUCCACCCGUUCGCGGAGGAGGCCGUCUACUUCGGCCUCUUCGCCAUCCCGCUCCUCUCCAUGAUGGCCACCGGCACCGGCUCCGUCGCCAUGUCCAACGCCUACCUCAUCUACAUCGACUUCAUGAACUACCUCGGGCACUGCAACUUCGAGCUCGUCCCCAAGCUGCUCUUUGACCUCUUCCCGCCGCUCAAGUACCUCAUGUACACGCCCUCGUUCCACUCGCUGCACCACACGCAGUUCAGGACCAACUACUCGCUGUUCGUGCCCUUCUACGACUACCUGUACGGCACCAUGGACAAGACGAGCGACGACCUGUACGAGCGCACGCUGCACGGCCGGGAGGAGGCCCCCGACGUCGUCCACCUCACCCACCUCACCACGCCGGGCUCCCUCCUCCACCUCCGCCUCGGCUUCGCCUCCCUCGCCUCCGCGCCGCUCCGCUCGUCCUCCUCGGCGGCGGCAUCGGCGCUGGCGAUGGUGGAGCGGCCUCUCGCCGCGCUGGCCUCGGUGUUUGGCAGGACGGCGUUCCGGUGCGAGGCCAACAGGAUGGGCAAUCUCAGCACCGAGACAUGGGUCGUCCCGAGAUACACCUCCCAGUACACGUCGAAGAAGGAUGCGCACGCGGUGAGCCGGGUGGUGGAGCGGGCGGUGGCGGACGCCGAGGCGAGCGGCGCCGCAGUGCUCACGCUGGGACUGCUGAAUCAGGGGUACGAGCUGAACCGGAACGGGGAGCUGUACGUGAUCAGGAAGCCUGAAAUCAAAACGAAGAUCGUCGACGGCACCAGCCUCGCCGUCGCCGCCGUGCUCCACAUGGUCCCGCGCGGCGCCAGGGACGUGCUCCUCCUGGGGAAGGAGUGCAAGGUCGUGGCCGUGCUGGCCCAGGCCCUCUGCGAACGAAACAUUCAGGUUCGGGUGGUGGACGCGGAUCUGCACGAGGCGCUGAGGCAGCAGAUUAGCCCGGAGCUGCGGGGCCGCCUGGCUCUGUCCUGCAGCUACAGCAGCAAGGUGUGGCUGGUCGGCGAUGGACUGACGGAGCGGGAGCAGGAGAAGGCGACGCCGGGCACCCACUUCGUGCCCUACUCCCAGUUCCCGGUCACCGGCGGCGGCGACGCCCGCGCUGACUGCGUGUACCACAGCACGCCGGCGCUCGUGGCGCCGGAGUCGUACGAGAACCUCCACGCCUGCGAGAACUGGCUGCCGAGGCGGGUGAUGAGCGCGUGGCGCGCGGCGGGGAUCGUGCACGCGCUGGAGAGGUGGCCCGGGCACGAGUGCGGCGACGCGGUCACCGGCGUCGACAAGGCGUGGCGCGCCGCCCUGGCGCACGGCUUCCGCCCCUACGACGCCGUCGCCGAGCCAGGCCAAACGCCCGCUGAUGCCAACUGA